Molecule: long non-coding RNA, 4548 nt
Organism: Acinonyx jubatus (cheetah)
Lineage: Eukaryota; Metazoa; Chordata; Mammalia; Carnivora; Felidae
Exons: 4
Source: RefSeq, a predicted model, not a curated record
UUUUUCUCUGGUCUCAAAUAAAACCCAGACUUGUAGCACUGGAUUAUUAAUAAGGUACCAGUGGGAAUUUUAGUAAUCUAGAAUGGAGAAAAGGUAGGGACAGCAUUUUUUUCUUGGUUAGUCACUAAAAUUAAACUGAAACAAAUUUAUGAAUUCCCUUCUCUUUCCAGAGGCUUGUAUCAGGGUGGGGCAAAGAACCACAAUGAAGCCUACUCUCACAAAUUAUCUUGGUCUGGCCAGACAGACUGGGAACUUUCUGGUUUAUUGUCCCUAGAGCAGCCCUGAUAACUGGGGCAGAGGGUGAAGCAGGGAGGCUCUGAGUGUUCCCUGCUCUCUAAAGGACUGAUUUCCCAUCUGCCAUACCGUCAACAUGUUUUAGUAAGUGUUUGGCCUCACAGGGAAAGCUGCCAGCAUCGUUUCCUAUCUGGCUCUGCUGUAUCAAGUCCAGAGGAAACCUGUUUCAGUCACUGUUCUCCUGGAACCACCCACAUCAUUAGGCAGGAAGGGCAGGGGGAGCGUGGAAGUAAGAUGUGAAGACGUGUCAUUGAAAAGAGGUGGUGUUUGGGAAAACACUUUGGGGCGUGUCCUGGUUACGAAAACAAAGAAGGCUAGGCCCAAAACGCCUGGAACUGGGAGGGAGUUUGUUGUAAUCAAGAGCCCAGUCUCCGGAGGAGGGUGGGAGGAGGGUAUGUCCUCAGAGAAGGUUGAUAGGAAAUAAUGACAAUAUAAAGGACAUCAAACAAGGGGAAGAUAUUUUGGCUUUUUAUUUGAUACUCCAGGAAGAUCUGAUGUCAUAUCCCUAAAAGGACAAAUCAGACCAAAGUGAGGCUCCAAGACGACUGGGCUUUUUGGACAUAAUCUUAUCAACACAUGAUCUGGGGAAAAAUUACUCACACCCUGAAAACUUUAGUUUUCUCAUGUGUUAAAUAGGGACAAUCAAAUACCAAUUUCUGAAGACUGUUCUAAUAAUUAAAUGAGACAUUCCUUAUAAAACACUUAGCAGAACACCUGGCAAAUUAACACGGAGUAGCUGGUUACAGAUCAAACCUUCCCUUGAGAAUGUGACAUGCUGGACAAUAUAUAAAGCCAUCAAUCUGAAGGCAGUGGGGAAUUCUGAAGCCACAAGGUCCUCAAACUUACUGUGGAUCUAAGGUCACCACCACUUCAUCCAUAGAUCCACAGACUGCCUCAGCCUCUGCCCAGGUGAGGCCAAUCUCCAGCAUGGAAACCUUUGUGCUUGAUGUGGUCUGAGCUGCUGCAGCUAUGGCAGGAGGCCCCACUGUACCCAGCAAGUAUCUGAUUUGUGUCACUAGUUCAGGAAUUGGAUGAAGCAACAUGCUGCAGGCUAUAGAAUUUUGUUUCCACAGUAGGUCUGAAGAGGGCAGUUGAAAAACUUGGAAAUGCAGAGAAGUUAAUGCCUUGUGGGGUAAAUUUUGACCAAUGAAAGAAGUCAUUCAGUGAAGGAAGCCCCUGAAUAAAUUCCUCUUCCUUUCUCCAACAGACUAUUCCAAGACAGGCUGCAUCCAAGCAGUGAGCUGUGUCUCUUUGUGAAGCUGUGGUCAUCUGCGAUAUUGCACUAGUUUGUAUUUGCCCUUCCUUCUUUUCUGCCCAACUUUCUUUUCCCUUUACUUUGGUGUCUCAGAGUUAUACCUCCUAUUUUUUUCUAGGGAACUUAGGCUAAGACAGAAUGAAAGUACAGAGAAGUGAGCCCAAUUUAGCUCUGUAGACAUUUGUCUAUGUGUAAGCAGAACGCAAGAGGCUGAGAUGCUGAGCAGAGUUUCCAACAGUCUUACAGUGUUGGUAAGAAAAAAAUGGACUUAAGGACCAAGGAGGAGAGGCCCAGGCAAACACUCCAGUUCUAGCUUGUAACUCCAGAAGGGACAGACAUUACCUCAAAAAUAAUGAAGCUGGAAUUAAAUCAACUAAAUCUUUGAUGGAAUGAAAAUUAAUCUGUCUCUUAUCCAACUGCCAAACAAAAAUAAAUUCUCUCUGGAAGAUGGUAUUGUCUAGAGUCUUAAAAUAUCUGUAUAAUUUGUCACAUGUAUUGUCUUGUGUGGCUGCAAGUAAACAAUUACUAUGUUUAUCAGGAGAUGAGACCAUAUGACAGAAAAACAAGAGAAAACCAUAUUAUAGAAACAUACUCACUGGAAAUCCAAGUAUUGGAUAAAAUUUCAGCAUAAAACAGGAAAAUAUCAAAAUUAUUCAAAUAUAAAUUCUAUAAAUUUAUAGAAUCUAUAAAUUGAUUGAACUAAAAUCUAUAAAUUGAUUGAAGCAGAUUAGGUAUAAUUAAAAGAGAGCAUUAGUAAAUUGGAACACAGACUGGGAGAAAAUAUCUACUACAAAGCACAGAGAGAAAAGAAAAUGGAAAAUACACACAAAAAAAAGAGGAAACAUACAAGAUCUAUGGGAAUGGUGAAAUAUUUAACAUGUAUGUAAUUGAAAUCUACCAAAAAGAAAAAAGAAUAAACAGAUGAGAAAAUGAAGCAGACAGAAAAUUUAAAAAUCAAAAUGACAGGACUUUACAAAAUGUCAAGCCACAAAUUCAGGAACUUAUAAACACCAUUCAAAUUAAGUACAGAUAAAACAAAUAUGGGUAUAUCAUAGUAAAAGUGUUCAAAAGAACACAGACAAAGGCAAAAUAUUAAUACAAUCCAGAGGAAAAAGAUAUCUGAUCUUCAAAAUAGCAGCAAUUAGACAGAUUUUCAAUUCUCAAAAAAAGAAGGUAGGCCACAAACAUAAAAUGACAUCUUCUAUCAGAGCUAGAGGAAACUAACUAUACUAGAAUUUGAUAACCACAGAAAAUGUCUUUUUAAAGUGAAAGCAAAAUAAAGAUAUUUUCAAAUAAAAAGACAGAGAAUUAUUCACCAAUUUAUACUAAGGAAAUACUAAUGGGAGUUCUUUAGUCAGAAGGUAAAUUAUUCCAGACAGAAAGCAUAAUGAAAUUGGAAGAAAUAAAGAACAACAGAAAAGAUAAAUACAUGGGUAAAUCUAAACGAAUGUGUAAUGUAUAGAAUAAUAAUAAUAUCUGGAAGUGUUUGAGUUCUAUACAGAAGUAAAAUCCAUGACAACAAUAGCACAAAAUGUAGGGAAAGGGUAAAUGGUGUUAAACUGUUCCAUGAGCCUCGUGUGGCUUGUGAAGUAAUUUAUAGUUUUUUAAAAAUAUUUAUUUAUUAAUUUCGAGAGAGAAAGCAUGAGUGAGGGAGGGGUAGAGAGAGAAUCCCAAGCAGGCUUCUCACUGUCUGUCCUAAGCCCUAGGAGGGGCUCGAUCUAAUGAACUGUGAGAUCAUGACCUGAGCCGAAAUCAAGAGUUGAAGCCUUAACCAACUGAGCCAUCCAAGCACCCCCGGGAAGUAAUUUAAAUAUUAAUUUUUGUCAGACUUUAACAAGUCAAGGAUGCAUGUAGCAUUUUCCAGAGUAAAAGCUAAAAGAAUAGUGAAAAUGUAUAAUUAGCAAGCAAUCCAGGUGAAAUAUAUAAUAAAUAAAAGCCUAAUUCAAAUCACUGCAGACAAGAGGGAGGAAAAGAGAGGGAAUGGCAGAGAAACAGCAAGAAAAUCAAACAUUAAAUUUGAACUUCUAAACAUAAGUAAUUGUGUCAAAUGUAAACAGGCUAAUAUUCUAAUUAAAAGACAAUAGUUAUUAGACUUGAUAAUAAAAAAUAUUAUGUUCUGCUUGCAAGAGAUACAUCUUAAAUAUAAGAAUGCACAAAGAUUAAAGUAAAAGGACAGAAUGUGUAAACCAUACAGACACAAAACAAUACAGGGCUGAUACACUAAUAUCAGAUAGUGUAGGUUAUAAACAUUUACUUAGGGAUGAAUAGGAUAUUUCAAAUGAUAAAAAGUUUAAUUCAUCAGGAAAAUAUAAUAUUCUAAACUCAAAUGACUUAACAAGAAACUUUUGAAAUAUAUAAAGCAAAACCAUACAUACAAAACCACAAGAGAAGAAAUAGGCAAUCACGAUGGGAAAAUUUUAACACAAAUCUCUGAAUAACUGAUGGAGCAAGCCAAAAGAGGAAGGGGGAGGAAGAGGAGGAGGGAGAGGUGGAAGAUGAGGAGAAAGAUCAGUAGACCUUCAAUAGAUCUGAACAGCACAAUUAACAACAUUUACCUAAUUCACAUAUAUAUAAAUCAUUGUAAUCAGCAACUGUUGCAUGUGCAUUCUUUCUAGAUACACAUAGAACAUUUGCCAAAAUUGAUUAUAUGAUGAGCCCCAAAUAAAGUGUCAAUAAAUUCCAAAAGAUUGAAAUGCGGUCAUUCUAUGAUGACAGUUCAAUUAAUCAAGAGAUCAAUAAGCAAAAGAUAAUUAGGGUUAAAAAAAAAAAAGCCUCAACAGUUACCUCACUCCAUAGACAAAAAUUAACUCAGAAUGGACUAUAUACCUAAAUAUAAAGGAAAAAAAUAUACAAAUCUCCCAUAAAACACGUAAAUCCUUUGUGACCAUUGGUAGGCAAAAUUCCCUAAAAUGGGACACACACACACAAAAAACCAAAAAGUGCUAGCCAUAUAUAUACGUAUACGUAUAUACAUAUAUGUAUAUGUAUAUGUAUAUGUA